AGCUGUUGUUUAAUGGGCACAGAAUUUCAGUUCUGAAAGAUGAAGAGUUGAGGUGGGUGGUGAUGGUCACAUAAUACAGUGAAUCUACUUAACAUUACUGAAAGGUGUGCUUAAAAAUGAUUAAGGUGGCAAAUUUUAAAAAGCAGUCUGCAAAAAAUGAUCCAUUAAACAUUGAACAAUGAUUUCCAUGAUGGUGGCUUUCUCAUCAGAAACUGGAAACAAGACAGUGGAACAACAUCUUUGAAACGCCAAAAGAAAAUAACUAUUUCUAGAAAAAAUAUAUUCAGGAAUGAAGGCAAAAUAAAAACAAUGAUCACUAAGGAACACUAAGAGAAUUAAGUGCUCAAGGAAGUUUUCAGGCUGAAGGGAAAUAAUAUUGUAAGAUAAAUUCUAGCUGAAAUAAGCAGGCGAAGAGAGGCAACAAAAGGCCAGGCAGUUUAUUUGAACUCCCUGGGUGAGGUUCCCCAGUCUACAGAAAUGGAGGCUGGGGAAGUCACACCCGGUCAGGGAGGUGGGGGCUUAUAAGGGAUUAGGAGGGGGAGGAGUGGGCAAGCUAUCCUAGGGGGCGUGGAGAGGUGUGAAUGGCUAAAGGUGACAUAAUAGACAACUAGAAACUUUUUUUCCUUCCAAGAGGGAGGAGGCUGACAUCCGGGUCUUAGUUGCCACAUCAGAAGGAUGGAGUUCAGGAAGAGCUGUCCCCUUUCCAUAUAAGGCAUGGACCUUGGGGUCUGGUCUGUUCUUCUUUUAUGGUAUCUCUCUGUUCUGUUUGCAUGUCCUUGUUUUUUCUUCCUCCAGCCUAACAUUCCAGUGUUUUGGUCAUAAUGGGCAACUACUCGAUCUGGCUACUUCUGGCUGACAAGGGGCGUUGUGGGGGUUUGAGGCUGGUAUUAAGCCGAAGGAGGGGGUUUAGUGGGAAGAGGUGUGUAACGGUGAAGUAACAUCUGGUUGGUGGUGACUCGGAUCAUCUGGGUUAGCCCUGUUGGAGGAACCUGAGGACACAAGGGGCAACUAAGAGUAAACUACAAACUGUUAUUAAGGGGCCCAGUAGGGGCAAUAGCCCCGACAUUAUGGGGGACUGGAAUUUUGGAUCGAGUUUACAUCUCAAUGAUUAGUAUUGGGAUUUAGUAUAGACAAGACUGCAUUACUGAAACAAUCCUUUUCUCUAAAAUCAACCUCAUUUUUAUUAGAAGUAGCUAGAUUAAGAAAAUAAUUAACAGUUGGCUUGAUUAUUUGCACAAGUGCAGCAAGAAGAGCAAUUGAUUACAUAGGCUCUUUUAAAUAUGCUUUGCUGGAACUUUUUAUAAGGAAUUUCAGAUUGGACUUUUAAAGGCUUUUUAAGGCCAGAAAGCAAAGCCAGACUUGCCAUCAGGUUGUGCCUGCAGUACCUGUAGAUCUGGGUGAAUUCCUCUCUUCUUGAGGUUCCCAUGACAUUCCUGAGGUUCUUGCACUUGCCAGGAAGUGACCUUCUUUACUCACCUGGUAAGGCUGGUAACUCUGUAAGCAAGGUACUAGGCCAGUUCUUCCAAGGGGCUUUGUUGGCUUUAUAAAGGCAACCUUAGUUCCUUAAAGCUGUUCAUAUCUGAGUUUAUGCAUGUGUCUCUCAGGUAUGACAUUCCAGUCAAAGCCUUGAUAGUAUAACCUGUGUUUUCAAUUGGUCUUCUUACAAGGAAAGCAGAUUCUUAUUGAACUUGUGCAAAUAAACAUACUGCCAUGAAAUAUAAAAACAGUCCCUGAGAGUUUUUAGAUUCUGGAGGGAUUAGGUAGAGAGAAAGAUAAAGUUUCAAUUCUGCUUAUAAAGGCAGUUAUUUACUAAACUGUUGUCAGCUUAAGGGAAAAAGCUUAAGACACUUUAUCAACAAUAUUUGAAACAAAAAGCUACAAAAUCAUCUUCCUUAGUUUACUUAAUCUUAUGUAACUAAUACUUGUUCUGCUGAAAUCUAAUUUCUUACUAGUUUAGGAGUAAUAACAGUGAGUAUAGAUGACAAAAGGCUUACAAAUGACAAUGGUUAAAGAUCUGAUGAGAGCUUACUGUAAGACAGUUGUCAUAAGGAAAUUUGGAUAUUUCUGUAACACAAAACAUUCAGUAACAAAGUUUAGUACCAUUCUUUUUGACAGUGCUUUCUAGGUAAAUAUAUAUCAGAUAAAUAAGCUGAAUUAGCCAAAUAUUUUCUCCAAUGAGAAAAAGUUCCUCUGACAUGUUUCAGGGGCCUUCUGGAAAAUAUAAGAGUUAACUAGAGGUAAAAGUAUCUUUUUGAAUUUGAUUUUGGGAAGUUGUCAGAAGAGUUUUUUUGGCACUUGCUGAAAUAGGAUUGUAGGUUGCCAUGAAGCAAUACUUGUCUAUUUAACUAGAAUGAUAACAAAGUACUUCAAAGGCAAAUAAAGAAGGUUACACAGUUGUUAGCAAAGUUUAGCUUUUAGUCCUUUUAAUAUUAAGAUCUCAUUUUUUAAAGACUGACAACUCACUGAGAUUUUAAGCAUAAGAAACUGCUUUGAUAAAACAAUAAGAACUCUCUACAAUCUUGCAAUAUUAAGAGCAGACUAGCAGUUAAGAAAACUUUGUCUUUUUAACUGAAAACAAAAUUCUAAUUUUUCUGUGUAUUUGAUACUGAGACUCAUUUGCUUUAAUUUUAUAUAGCAUGACCAUAUUAAAUUCUACAAACUUUUUAUAUUCUUCUUUUUCAUUUAGAGUUUUCUCUGUAAAAACAGCUGUACUUUAGAACAAAGUUACUUUUUUUAUCAAAAGACACAUUCUUUAGCAUGCAGAAUGAAUUUCUAUUUUUUAUACUUUCUCUUAUUAAAACAUACAUCUUUUAGCAUAGAUAAAUUUUUUUAUUACUUUAAGUAGUUUUAAUUAGAACUUAAAACUAUUAGAAACGUUAAUUUUCAGUUUACACUGAGAAGUAGGCUAUUGUAAACUGUUAAACUAGCAUUCUUUGGAUUGACAAAUUAUGAACAUUUUAUAAUUUCUGUUAACUAUGAGCUUUACAACACAAUCUCUCACUAAGCACGAAUUAUAUCUUUUUAACUUAGCAAAACUUUAAGGUUUUAGGUUACUACAAAGAUUUCCAGGCUGUAGAUAGGUAUACACACAGUAACACACAAUUAUUAAAGUGUUCAUUUGCUACACUUAUUUAGUUCACUUAUUCUUAACUAUGCUAGGUUACUUAAAAAACUUUUACUGGAUAUUAGACAGAGCCAAGCCUUUAAGCAUUUUAUUCUUAAAAGAUUUAGUAGAUAACAUCAACUUAAAUGACUUUAGGUAAACUUAGGCAGCUGAUAACUACAAGGACAUGCCUGCCUCAGCCAAACUCAAAUUAGCAUUAAUGCUUAACAUUUUUUAUCAGAUUUUUCUGGAAGUUUUAGAAUGCCCAAUUUUCACAAGCAAUUGUUUUUAAAUCAAUUUUUACUAAUACCAUCUGGAGGUAGGAAAAUAUUUUUCAUUUACACACUUAGACACACAAACAUACAAACUGAGACACAAUGACUACAAGUCAGCAACACUUCUCACACAAAAACAUAUACACAGACAAACAAACUGAUAUAAAGAUUUGAGUUACUGAUAUUUAAUUGCUUUCUUUCUUUUUAGCUUCUUGUCCGUGGCUUCCGGAACCGGAGGGUGGGAGGAGCGUGUUCUGGUGGGGGAAGAGGGCGGUGAAGGUGGAAGGAGAGGGGGAGGGGGUGGUGCAGCUCCCAGAAGAGGAGAGGAGCAGGAAGGCAGCAUGGCUGGGAACAAAGGACCUGAAGAUGCCUAACAAAUAUCAGCAGGAAAGUUGGACUUAAGGAAUGGAGGAGAAACAUAAAUGGCCUGGGCCUUUGAAGUGUGACCUCAAUUCCCAGAGCUCAGAUGGCCACUUACAUAAGAGACCCUGCACCUCUGCUGUGAGCUGCUUGAUGGGCACGUUCACGUGUGGCAUCCGUAUGUCCAGCUGUAAAGCCAUUACCAGUUCCUACAGUUCCACUGGAGGCAUCUCUCAGGUACAUUCACCCGGUGGUGUGGAAGAAGUGGGGUCUUUGCAUUUAUUUAUUGAUUAUGCAGUGUUUACUAGCCGCCUUCUGUCAGAUGCUGAGAUCACCUCUAAGCUAACAGCAGUUACCAACGCCUGAAUGAUCACUAUAGACCAGUGGAACAAAUUAGAAAGCCCAGAGUGCUUAUGUGGAAACCUGAAUACAAGACAGAGCCAUUAUUAUAGAUAGAUGGACAAGGGAUGAAUAAUUUAAAAAAUGGUACUAAUUUGAUUAAAAAGGUAGAUUGAGUCUGGAUUGCAUUGGGUCAUAAAUUCAUCCUAUAGGCACUGGGAAUUUAAUGAAAGUUUUUAAAAUAAGUGGUUAUAAUUUUUUUUUAGAAAGUAUGUAGUGUAGACUGGAGAACAGAUCAAGUUUUGCUACCAGAAUGACUUGGGUUCAAAUCUUGGCUUUGGCACUUAGUAGCUAUAGACUCUUGGGCAGGGAAAUGACUCGAACUCUCUUUUUCUCAUCUCUAAAGGACUGUUGUACAGAUUGAAUGUUUGAAAAGCACCCAUUACAGUGUUUGUCAGUAAGUGGGCACCCGAUAUAUAGGAGCCUGAAAAAAAUAAUGCAUGUGUGGAGGAGGUUUUUGAGAGGAGAAAGAAUUUGACAUAAGUUUUCAUCCACACAGAAGGCUCUUGGAGUAAUAUAAAUGACAUGUUAAUGAUAAAUGACAAAUAUAGGAGAUGAAGGCCCCAGCCAGGCAGUUAUGGCAAUGCAGAGGACAAUAGUACGAAGUCUUUAUUCUGCACUAGGCCCUCUGCUGAGCACUGUACAUACAUUUCCUCAAUCAGUGAUCACAACAGACCUAUGAGAUACACAGUCAUUGCUCCUCCUUACAAUUUCAUAUCAAAUGUCAUACAUACACAAAAGGAAGGGAAAAUAUCAUAAUGAACCUCCAUGUAGCUCCAGCAGUUAACUGUUUUGUCAGUCCUGUUCUGUCAACACCCCCACCCCAGGUUGGUUUUGCUCUUGUGUUUUAAAGUACAAACAUUUUGUUUCACCCAUAGGUACUUCAGUGUAUUUUUAAAACUUUUUGAACAUUAAUAACCACAAUACCUCUAUUCCUCUGAAUAAUAAUAACUUAAUGUUAGUUAUUCUCACUCCAAUUUGCCCUUAUUACCCUGUCUUAUUAUAGUUACUUUGAAUCAGGGACCAAAAAUCAACUCAUUGCAUUUGGUUCACAUGUCUCUUAUACUCUUUUUUUUUUUGAGUAUUAAGUAUGUAAUUAAUAUAUGUAACAAACAAUCUGAAGGUAAGACUGUACACUUAUGGAAAUAAUGAUUUUGACCUACUUCAUAAGGUAGUUGUGAGGUAGUACAUAUAAAGUGUUCAAGAGUUUACAUUGUCCAUAGUAAACAUUCAAGAAGUGCCACCCAUUACUAUUAUUUUAAAUAAGUACAGUCAUUUAAUUUCAGGGACUUAAUUCACACUCAGAGCUUCAGACUUAACAUUAUACAGUGCUAUGUAUGAGGGCCUAACAAGCAGGCAGGGUAAAAAUAAUCUUAAACUUUUUAACAGGUUGUUUUAUAUUUUUUAGAUGUACCCUUUUUGGCUUUUAAUCUAAUUAUAAUGCUUUGAAAUUAUGCAUGUUUUCACAUAGUGUAACCUCAGUCUUGAGUAAUAGUUAUGUUGAAAUUACUAUAAAGCACUUUUGUAUCACAACAAAAUUACGUUGACCUCAUAGGACUGAAUUUCAGUCAUAGAGAAAAUGAAGGACUUAUAAUUGUAAAUUAUCUUCACUUUAAUCAGUAGCAUAAUGUACAUAUCAUUUUAUUAAAAAGCUUAUUCAUUGAAAAUCAUAAGGUAUUUUAUAGAUGCCUUUAAAUUUGGGUUUUAAAUAUAGGUUUUGUUUUUUUCUUAUUCUGGAAAUGUUCAUUAGUUUAUCUUAAUUUGAAUUACUGCUUAUUCUAACAUGUUGCCUGUAACAUUAUAUUUACAAGUUGAAUUAUGCUUUUCAUGGGGCAUGAAGAAAAAGUAAGCAGGCAGUUGAAUGAAAACAGGUCAGGUUGGGUUUCUAAAUGUUUGUCACUUGUGGUGAUUUAGACUUAAAUAUUUUUUUUCUUUCCUUAGGUAUUUUAUUGGGUAUUAAAGCAAGUAUUGAUGGUUAAUUUACACUGUUACUUGCUGAGUGUAUUGUUAGCAAUGCGGCUAGUGUACUUAAACUUCAAU
Molecule: long non-coding RNA, 6177 nt
Organism: Manis pentadactyla (Chinese pangolin)
Lineage: Eukaryota; Metazoa; Chordata; Mammalia; Pholidota; Manidae
Exons: 3
Source: RefSeq, a predicted model, not a curated record